GGGCGCUGGGCGGGUCCGCGGCGCGGUCGGUCGGCGCCUAUUCUCGGGCUGUUUGGCGGACGAAGCUUCACAAAAGAUGUCUAAGGUGAAUCAGGUCUAGGAAAAUCGACUCUCAUAAACAGCCUAUUCCUAACUGAUCUGUACCCAGAAAGAGUCAUACCUGGAGCAGCAGAAAAAAUUGAAAGAACCGUCCAGAUUGAGGCUUCAACUGUUGAAAUUGAAGAGCGAGGGGUCAAGCUACGCCUGACAGUGGUAGAUACCCCUGGCUAUGGUGACGCUAUCAACUGCAGAGAUUGUUUUAAGACAAUUAUCUCCUAUAUUGAUGAGCAAUUUGAGAGGUACCUGCAUGACGAGAGCGGCUUGAACAGGCGGCACAUCAUUGAUAAUAGGGUGCAUUGUUGCUUUUACUUUAUUUCACCUUUUGGACAUGGACUUAAGCCCUUAGAUGUGGCGUUUAUGAAGGCAAUACACAACAAGGUGAAUAUUGUGCCUGUCAUUGCAAAAGCUGACACUCUCACCCUGAAGGAACGGGAGCGGCUGAAGAAAAGGAUUCUGGAUGAAAUUGAAGAACAUAACAUCAAAAU
Molecule: small RNA, 584 nt
Filed under: Pan troglodytes (chimpanzee)
Lineage: Eukaryota; Metazoa; Chordata; Mammalia; Primates; Hominidae
Description: processed transcript
Source: RNAcentral